Molecule: ribosomal RNA, 220 nt
Filed under: Salmonella enterica subsp. enterica serovar Virchow
Lineage: Bacteria; Pseudomonadati; Pseudomonadota; Gammaproteobacteria; Enterobacterales; Enterobacteriaceae
Description: partial 16S ribosomal RNA
Rfam family: Bacterial small subunit ribosomal RNA
Source: RNAcentral
UUAAAUUGAAGAGUUUGAUCAUGGCUCAGAUUGAACGCUGGCGGCAGGCCUAACACAUGCAAGUCGAACGGUAACAGGAAGCAGCUUGCUGCUUCGCUGCCGAGUGGCGGACGGGUGAGUAAUGUCUGGGAAACUGCCUGAUGGAGGGGGAUAACUACUGGAAACGGUGGCUAAUACCGCAUAACGUCGCAAGACCAAAGAGGGGGACCUUCGGGCCUCA